UACGUAGGGUGCGAGCGUUGUCCGGAAUUAUUGGGCGUAAAGGGCUCGUAGGCGGUUUGUCGCGUCGGGAGUGAAAACUCAGGGCUUAACCCUGAGCCUGCUUCCGAUACGGGCAGACUAGAGGUAUGCAGGGGAGAACGGAAUUCCUGGUGUAGCGGUGAAAUGCGCAGAUAUCAGGAGGAACACCGGUGGCGAAGGCGGAUCUCUGGGCCUUACCUGACGCUCAGGCGCGAAAGCUAGGGGAGCGAACAGG
RNAcentral lists this ribosomal RNA (253 nucleotides) under uncultured bacterium. RNAcentral describes it as "partial 16S ribosomal RNA". It matches the Rfam family "Bacterial small subunit ribosomal RNA", at positions 524 to 776 of the family's 1533-position model. The record is from RNAcentral.